RNAcentral lists this ribosomal RNA (433 nucleotides) under uncultured bacterium. Its description in RNAcentral is "partial 16S ribosomal RNA". It matches the Rfam family "Bacterial small subunit ribosomal RNA", at positions 29 to 507 of the family's 1533-position model. The record is from RNAcentral.
AACGAACGCUGGCGGCAUGCCUAACACAUGCAAGUCGAACGAGACCUUCGGGACUGGUGGCGCACGGGUGCGUAACGCGUGGGAACCUGCCGUUAGGUUCGGAAUAACUCCCCGACAUGGGGGCUAAUACCGGAUAAUGUCCUCGGACCAAAGAUUUGUCGCAUUUGUUUGGGCCGGCGUUGGUUUAGCUAGGUGGUAGGGUAAAAGCCAACCAAGGCUAAGAUCCAUAGCUGGGCUCAGAGGAAGAUCAGCCACACUUGGGGUGGGACCCGGCCGGGACUCCUACAGGAGGCAGGAGAGGCUAAUACAGGACAAUGGGCGAAGGCCUGAUCCAGCACGGCCGCGUGAGUGAUGAAGGCCGUAGAGUAGUAAAGCUCGUUUACCCGGGGUGAUACUGACGGUACCGAGAGAAUAAGCACCGGCUAACUCCGUG